CCUUAAAAUAGGAUAAUCUUUAACGUUUUCUCUAUUCAGAGAACAAGUAGAAUAUGAUGAUUGGAAUUUGCAUGAUUCACAAUUAAUGUCUCUGUGCAAUGAGGUCUCACAACACCCUAAUUGCUCGUAUCUUAU
Small nucleolar RNA from Sorex araneus (European shrew), 135 nucleotides. Its record names the gene U8. It matches the Rfam family "U8 small nucleolar RNA". From Rfam's summary of the family: U8 is a member of the C/D class of snoRNA which contain the C (UGAUGA) and D (CUGA) box motifs. The record is from Ensembl. Lineage: Eukaryota; Metazoa; Chordata; Mammalia; Eulipotyphla; Soricidae.